This 74-nucleotide transfer RNA is filed under the name Chalceus macrolepidotus (pinktail chalceus). Its description in RNAcentral is "tRNA-Lys". It matches the Rfam family "tRNA". From Rfam's summary of the family: Transfer RNA (tRNA) molecules are approximately 80 nucleotides in length. Lineage: Eukaryota; Metazoa; Chordata; Actinopteri; Characiformes; Chalceidae. The record is from RNAcentral.
CAUUAGGAUGCUAAACAGGGUAUAGCGUUAGCCUUUUAAGCUAAAAAUUGGUGACUCCCAACCACCCCUAGUGA